GAUGAACGCUGGCGGCGUGCCUAAUACAUGCAAGUCGAGCGAACAGACGAGGAGCUUGCUCCGCUGACGUUAGCGGCGGACGGGUGAGUAACACGUGGAUAACCUACCUAUAAGACUGGGAUAACUUCGGGAAACCGGAGAUAAUACCGGAUAAUAUAUUGAACCGCAUGGUUCAAUAGUGAAAGACGGUUUUGCUGUCACUUAUAGAUGGAUCCGCGCCGCAUUAGCUAGUUGGUAAGGUAACGGCUUACCAAGGCAACGAUGCGUAGCCGACCUGCGAGGGUGAUCGGCCACACUGGAACGGAGACACGGUCCAGACUCCUACGGGAGGGAGCAGAAGGGAAUGUUACGCAAUGGGCGAGAGCCUGACGGAGCAACGCCGCGUGAGUGAUGAAGGUCUUCGGAUCGUAAAGCUCUGUUUUGAGGGAAGAACAAAUGUGUAAGUAAAUAUGCACUUCUUGACGGUACCUAAUCAGAAAGCCACGGCUAACUACGUG
Molecule: ribosomal RNA, 497 nt
Filed under: uncultured bacterium
Lineage: Bacteria
Description: partial 16S ribosomal RNA
Rfam family: Bacterial small subunit ribosomal RNA
Source: RNAcentral